GCCCAUGAUGGAUAGUUCAGUCAGUAGAGCAUGAGACUCUUAAUCUGAGGGUCAGGGGUUCCAGCCCCAUGUUGGGCA
Molecule: non-coding RNA, 78 nt
Organism: Podarcis lilfordi (Lilford's wall lizard)
Lineage: Eukaryota; Metazoa; Chordata; Lepidosauria; Squamata; Lacertidae
Source: the annotation of a GenBank genome assembly